GUUUUGGAAAGUUUUUCAGGCAAUCCGGGACUCUGUGUUCCUACCUCUUUGAACUCAUCAGACAGAAGUUUUCAAACAUGUUCACAUAGCUAUAACCAUAAGAAGAGGAACAACAUUGCUUGGGUUAUUGGGACAUCAGUGGGGAUAGUCAUUGUUGGAUUAGUUUUGUUUAUCAAGCGAUGGUUUGGUAACAAAAAGGCGGUGAUGGAACAGGAUGAUCAUUCAUUGUCAUCAUCAUUUUUCUCCUAUGAUGUUAAGAGUUUCCAUCGAUUGAGCUUUGAUCAACGUGAGAUCUUUGAAGCUAUGGUUGAGAAGAACAUUGUUGGAUAUGGA
This 333-nucleotide unclassified non-coding RNA is filed under the name Hevea brasiliensis (rubber tree). The record is from RNAcentral. Lineage: Eukaryota; Viridiplantae; Streptophyta; Magnoliopsida; Malpighiales; Euphorbiaceae.